Molecule: ribosomal RNA, 110 nt
Filed under: Effusibacillus dendaii
Lineage: Bacteria; Bacillati; Bacillota; Bacilli; Caryophanales; Alicyclobacillaceae
Source: RNAcentral
UAGUGACAAUAGCGGAGAGGACCCACCCGUACCCAUCCCGAACACGGAAGUUAAGCUCUCCAGCGCCGAUGGUACUUGGGCAUAAGCCCUGGGAGAGUAGGUCGUUGCUA